Molecule: ribosomal RNA, 458 nt
Filed under: uncultured bacterium
Lineage: Bacteria
Description: bacterial SSU rRNA
Rfam family: Bacterial small subunit ribosomal RNA
Source: RNAcentral
GAUUCUGGCUCAGAGCGAACGCUGGCGGCAGGCUAACACAUGCAAGUCGAGCGCCUGUAGCAAUACAGGAGCGGCAGACGGGAGAGUAACACGUGGGAAUAUGCCCUUCGGUUCGGAAUAACUCAGGGAAACUUGAGCUAAUACCGGAUACGCCCUUACGGGGAAAGAUUUAUUGCCGAAGGAUUAGCCCGCGUCCGAUUAGCUAGUUGGUGAGGUAAUGGCUCACCAAGGCGACGAUCGGUAGCUGGUCUGAGAGGAUGAUCAGCCUCAUUGGGACUGAGACACGGCCCAAACUCCUACGGGAGGCAGCAGUGGGGAAUAUUGGACAAUGGGCGCAAGCCUGAUCCAGCCAUGCCGCGUGGGUGAUGAAGGCCCUAGGGUUGUAAAGCCCUUUCGGCGGGGAAGAUAAUGACGGUACCCGCAGAAGAAGCCCCGGCUAACUUCGUGCCAGCCGCAGC